AUUGAACGCUGGCGGCAGGCCUAACACAUGCAAGUCGAGCGGUAGAGAGAAGCUUGCUUCUCUUGAGAGCGGCGGACGGGUGAGUAAUGCCUAGGAAUCUGCCUGGUAGUGGGGGAUAACGUUCGGAAACGGACGCUAAUACCGCAUACGUCCUACGGGAGAAAGCAGGGGACCUUCGGGCCUUGCGCUAUCAGAUGAGCCUAGGUCGGAUUAGCUAGUUGGUGAGGUAAUGGCUCACCAAGGCGACGAUCCGUAACUGGUCUGAGAGGAUGAUCAGUCAGACUGGAACUGAGACACGGUCCAGACUCCAACGGGGGGCAGCAGUGGGGAAUAUUGGACAAUGGGCGAAAGCCUGAUCCAGCCAUGCCGCGUGUGUGAAGAAGGUCUUCGGAUUGUAAAGCACUUUAAGUUGGGAGGAAGGGUUGUAGAUUAAUACUCUGCAAUUUUGACGUUACCGACAGAAUAAGCACCGGCUAACUCUGUGCCAGCCGCCGCAGUAA
RNAcentral lists this ribosomal RNA (500 nucleotides) under uncultured bacterium. Its description in RNAcentral is "partial 16S ribosomal RNA". It matches the Rfam family "Bacterial small subunit ribosomal RNA", at positions 30 to 523 of the family's 1533-position model. The record is from RNAcentral.